UGGGGGAUAUUGCACAAUGGGGGGAACCCUGAUGCAGCGACGCCGCGUGGGUGAAGAAGCGCCUCGGCGCGUAAAGCCCUGUCAGCAGGGAAGAAAAUGACGGUACCUGAAGAAGAAGCCCGGCUAACUACGUGCC
Molecule: ribosomal RNA, 136 nt
Filed under: uncultured bacterium
Lineage: Bacteria
Description: partial 16S ribosomal RNA
Rfam family: Bacterial small subunit ribosomal RNA
Source: RNAcentral